GAACUUUCCAGAGAUGGAUUGGUGCCUUCGGGAACUGUGAGACAGGUGCUGCAUGGCUGUCGUCAGCUCGUGUUGUGAAAUGUUGGGUUAAGUCCCGCAACGAGCGCAACCCUUAUCCUUUGUUGCCAGCGGUUAGGCCGGGAACUCAAAGGAGACUGCCAGUGAUAAACUGGAGGAAGGUGGGGAUGACGUCAAGUCAUCAUGGCCCUUACGACCAGGGCUACACACGUGCUACAAUGGCGCAUACAAAGAGAAGCGACCUCGCGAGAGCAAGCGGACCUCAUAAAGUGCGUCGUAGUCCGGAUUGGAGUCUGCAACUCGACUCCAUGAAGUCGGAAUCGCUAGUAAUCGUGGAUCAGAAUGCCACGGUGAAUACGUUCCCGGGCCUUGUACACACCGCCCGUCACACCAUGGGAGUGGGUUGCAAAAGAAGUAGGUAGCUUAACCUUCGGGAGGGCGCUUACCACUUUGUGAUUCAUGACUGGGGUGAAGUCGUAACAAGGUAACCGUAGGGGAACCUGC
RNAcentral lists this ribosomal RNA (522 nucleotides) under Salmonella enterica. Its description in RNAcentral is "bacterial SSU rRNA". It matches the Rfam family "Bacterial small subunit ribosomal RNA", at positions 993 to 1515 of the family's 1533-position model. RNAcentral also lists the same sequence under 6 other names. Lineage: Bacteria; Pseudomonadati; Pseudomonadota; Gammaproteobacteria; Enterobacterales; Enterobacteriaceae. The record is from RNAcentral.